RNAcentral lists this small RNA (556 nucleotides) under Oryza sativa Japonica Group (Japanese rice). RNAcentral describes it as "sRNA Os05g0438550". Lineage: Eukaryota; Viridiplantae; Streptophyta; Magnoliopsida; Poales; Poaceae. The record is from RNAcentral.
CAUAGAGUACUGGAUUGCUUCACGAGCUGUCGGAGCAGGCAAGAAGUCAUUGACAGCAACCUCCUUGUUCUCAUUCUUCUUUCUUCAAAGAAGCGCCGGAUUUCCUGAAGGCGAUGAGGAGAAAGCUCGCUGAGAUUAUUGAAAUGGCGGUACUCAGGAUCAUCGGCGCAGACAGCUAUGAUCUUGUCAUCCUUCUCUCCCUGGUCAAUCAUAGGCAUGAGACCAAUGGCCCUGGCUCGGAGGAAUGAACCAGGAAGAACUGGUUCCUGGUUGCGAACAACACAAGGACAUCCAUGGGGUCGUUGUCCUCGCAAAGCGUUCUCGGAAUGAAACCGUAGUUGUGAGGGUAGACCACGGACGAGUAUAGAAUCCGAUCAACCUACCUUGAUGAGCCCCGUCUUCUUGUCCAGCUCGUACUUCACCUUGCUCCCCUUGGGCGUGCACUUACGACGUUGAACACGGCGGGAGCAUCAGGGCCGAUCUCGAGGUCGUGCCACGGGUGCGCGGCGACGGACCUCCGCGACAGCGACGAGAGGAUCCUCUCGUUCAGCUUCGG